CCAUCAGAUCGACCCUGUUGAUC
Molecule: non-coding RNA, 23 nt
Filed under: Cricetulus griseus (Chinese hamster)
Lineage: Eukaryota; Metazoa; Chordata; Mammalia; Rodentia; Cricetidae
Source: RNAcentral